AAAAGAAUGAAAAUACUAUUCAUGUAGAUUGAACUUGCUAGGGUAGAACUAAGAAGUAAAAUGUAAUUUCAAAUACAUUCCCUGAUAAAUUAUAAAACCCAUGUGAAUGCAACAUUGCAAGUAUCCUCUGACCAACAAAAAGCUAACCAAUAUGAAAUUUGAUCAACACAGAUUAUUCAAAAUACAUCAGUUCAAUUAUAUCACUGUUUGUCAUAUCACUUCAAAGUUGCAUUACUGGAUUAUUAAUUCAGAAAUUUGGCAAGAUUAAAGAAAAUAAACCUCUAAGCACAUUUACUAGAGAUCCGGCAUGUGAAGCUGAAUGCAUGGCAUAUGUUGUCUCUGCAUCAUCGUCCAAAAUAGGCGAAAUUGUCUACUAAUUUGUCCAACAUCAUCAAUGUUGUGGCUGUGAUGGUCGACGGAGUCCAGGUAUCUCAACUCCAUGAGGCCCUAUGCGGUUGCGGGAUAUAAAAUUAACAAUGAGCGUUGCAAAUUCAUCAGGUACAUCUUCCUGUAUAGCAUGUCCGGUAUGUCGGACAACCACCAUUUGGAACUUCCCUUGCAUUUGGCCAAUUGUAAGAGCUCUGUUGCAAAACAGAGCAAAGAAAAUCUCAGAAUAAAAACUUUUACCAGUCUUGCAAUUCCACAACCUAUCACACAGAAUGCUCCCCACUACUAAAUAAGUAACUGCUCCUAAAAAAGCACCAUUCAGACAUUUAGUGCCAUGGAAUACAAGGAUUAAAAGUAGCUAAAAAGAUGAGUAAACUUUCACAAUCAUGCACUUCACUAACAUCAUGUCAAAAAUCUGUUCAGUGCCAUAUAUUCCAUACUGCUAUUUUAUUUAAAUGUAAGUGAUUGUAUAAUGAUGUCAUAAAAAACCUUCUAUAUAUAAUUUGAGGCAAGUUCAAAAGCACAACCUGUCAAGUCUAUCUGUUCCUGCUAAAAGUAAGAGUUUUGGAACAGGAGAUGACAGAAAUUUUUCUGAAAGGCCUUCAUACCAUCCUCUCCAAUAUUGUUCUGUUUCCUCCAGACGUGCUCUAUAAACAUAACAUUUCUUUGAAUCAUCAUACUUUAAAGUGGUAGGCACAGAUAUGCGGGCAGAAUCAAUGUUUCUUAAAGAACCUCCCUUGACACUCCAUUCUACCUGCGCAAAAGCAUUUGUUUCCAAUUCACUAACAUUUCAAACUUCACCAGCAUGCAUAAGCUUCAGUGAAAGUAUAUCCCUAGCUGUCUGACAACCAGUAAUUUCUAAAUUCCAGGAUAUUGAAAGUAGGCUAGAAGGUAACCAAACAUUGGAUACAGCUAUGUGGGUAUGUUAUGUGUCAACUAGUAAUAUAGUGUUCAGAGAACUUUACAGUUUACAUAAUGUUUCAGAAUAUUAGACACAAAAAUAUCAGGAGUCCUGCAAUAAUUGAUGCAAUAAAAAAUAUUUAAACUUUUUCAUAGCAAUUAGUAAAAUAAUCAGUUCUCCACAGAUAAUCAUUUGAUUCAAAACUUGAAUUGUAUGAUUCUAUUUUAUUGAAGCACCAAAUGACUUGAAUUGAGCAUGCAAAUCAAAAUUGCACAAAAUCAUAGAUGAACCUUACAGAUUAACUUUUGUGAAUUUCAUGAUUCGAAAAUUGAAUGGGUAGAAAUGUUAUUUUAAUCUUUUUUUUUCUGGUAUUUCCACUCUUAUUCGCUAUCUUGCUCUCUUCCUCAGUUCCCAAUUAUUUCUUUUUUCUUUCUUAUCUCCCUCCCCUAUUUUCCUUUCUUUUCUCGUUCAUUGUUUUCUUUAUUUCGUUUCUUUUUCUUCCCUAUGCUCUCCCAAGAAAAAGGGGAUAUGUAAAAAUGAAGCUUAUAAGUGGUCUUGAUUUAGUUUAUGUUGGUUUUGUUUGUAUUUUGAAGAUGACAAAGCCCAUAAAGGGAAAAACUUUCCUACUUUAUAUAAUAUAUAGGGCACAAAAAUACUGUAGAUGUAAAUAAUGGAAACUAAAUCUAUAUUUGAUAGGUGAAAUUAUCAAAGUACAAAAGCCAUAAUUGGAAAAUAAAUGUUGUGUAUAUGUCUAUUUGCAUGUCUAGAUGAUGUGUAAUGCAGAUUGCAAACAUUCCUGCUAUCACAUUUCUAUGAGAGCAUGUUUCGUUAUGUAUUGCAUUUCUGAUUUGCCAUGCAGUCAUUAAACCCAACUCAACUCAACUCAACU
This 2177-nucleotide unclassified non-coding RNA is filed under the name Hevea brasiliensis (rubber tree). The record is from RNAcentral. Lineage: Eukaryota; Viridiplantae; Streptophyta; Magnoliopsida; Malpighiales; Euphorbiaceae.